CGCCAGACUCCUACGGGAGGCAGCAGUGGGGAAUAUUGCACAAUGGGGGGAACCCUGAUGCAGCGACGCCGCGUGGGUGAAGAAGUCAUUCGUGACGUAAAGCCCUAUCAGCAGGGAAGAAAAUGACGGUACCUGACUAAGAAGCCCCGGCUAACUCCGUGCCAGCAGCCGCGGUAAUACGGAGGAUGCGAGCGUUAUCCGGAUUUAUUGGGUUUAAAGGGUGCGCAGGCGGCCUGUUAAGUCAGCGGUAAAAGCCGGGGGCCCAACCCGGGCGAGCCGUUGAAACUGGCGGGCUGGAGUUGGAGAGAAGUACGCGGAAUGCGCGGUGUAGCGGUGAAAUGCUUAGAUAUCGCGCAGAACCCCGAUUGCGAAGGCAGCGUACCGGCUCCACACUGACGCUGAGGCACGAAAGCGUGGGUAUCGAACAGGAUUAGAUACCCGAGUAAC
Molecule: ribosomal RNA, 447 nt
Filed under: uncultured bacterium
Lineage: Bacteria
Description: partial 16S ribosomal RNA
Rfam family: Bacterial small subunit ribosomal RNA
Source: RNAcentral